This 484-nucleotide ribosomal RNA is filed under the name uncultured bacterium. RNAcentral describes it as "partial 16S ribosomal RNA". It matches the Rfam family "Bacterial small subunit ribosomal RNA", at positions 30 to 507 of the family's 1533-position model. The record is from RNAcentral.
AUUGAACGCUGGCGGCAGGCCUAACACAUGCAAGUCGAGCGGAUGAAGGGAGCUUGCUCCUGGAUUCAGCGGCGGACGGGUGAGUAAUGCCUAGGAAUCUGCCUGGUAGUGGGGGAUAACGUCCGGAAACGGGCGCUAAUACCGCAUACGUCCUGAGGGAGAAAGUGGGGGAUCUUCGGACCUCACGCUAUCAGAUGAGCCUAGGUCGGAUUAGCUAGUUGGUGGGGUAAAGGCCUACCAAGGCGUCGAUCCGUAACUGGUCUGAGAGGAUGAUCAGUCACACUGGAACUGAGACACGGUCCAGACUCCUACGGGAGGCAGCAGUGGGGAAUAUUGGACAAUGGGCGAAAGCCUGGUCCAGCCAUGCCGCGUGUGUGAAGAAGGUCUUCGGAUUGUAAAGCACUUUAAGUUGGGAGGAAGGGCAGUAAGUUAAUACCUUGCUGUUUUGACGUUACCAACAGAAUAAGCACCGGCUAACUUCGUG